This 900-nucleotide long non-coding RNA is filed under the name Callithrix jacchus (white-tufted-ear marmoset). Its description in RNAcentral is "lncRNA (ENSCJAG00000070609.1)". Lineage: Eukaryota; Metazoa; Chordata; Mammalia; Primates; Cebidae. The record is from RNAcentral.
AUGGACAGAAUUCUUCGGGAAGAGCAGGUACACAUUGUACAGAAGACGUGUACAUUCUGUACCAAUUCUGUACCACAUGUACAUUCUGCACCAUUCUAUACCACAUGUACAUUCAGUACCGAUUCUGUACCACGUGUACCUUCAGUACCGAUUCUGUACCACGUGUACAUUCUGCACCAUUCUGUACCACGUGUACAUUCUGUGCCAUUCUGUACCAUGUGUACAUUCAGUACUGAUUCUGUACCACGUGUACAUUCUGUGCCAUUCUGUACCACGUGUACAUUCAGUACCGAUUCUGUACCACAUGUACAUUCAGUACCGAUUCUGUACCACGUGUACAUUCAGUACCGAUUCUGUACCACGUGUACAUUCAGUACCGAUUCUGUACCACAUGUACAUUCUGCACCAUUCUGUACCACAUGUACAUUCAGUACCGAUUCUGUACCACAUGUACAUUCAGUACCGAUUCUGGACCACGUGUACAUUCAGUACCGAUUCUGGACCACGUGUACAUUCAGUACCGAUUCUGGACCACGUGUACAUUCUGCACCAUUCUGUACCACGUGUAAAUUCUGCACCAUUCUGUACCACGUGUAUAUUCAGUACCGAUUCUGUACCACGUGUACGUUCUGUACCGAUUCUGUACCACGUGUACAUUCUGUACCGAUUCUGUACCACAUGUACAUUCUGCACCAUUCUGUACCGAUUCUGUACCACGUGUACAUUCUGUACUAUUCUGUACCAAUGCACAGAAGCCAUGUGUUCCACUUCCCUGUGGAGCCUGAGCACUGUGGGAACACACCCAAAAGCCCCUCUGUAACCACAGGUCAUUGGUAUUUCCGUAUUAGCCCUAUUUCUCAGAGCUUCAUAACUUUGAAUUUUAAGUCAAUAACUUUUUGA